AUGCUUGUUGGGAUGGAUGGUCCCCGACUCUCUAUUCACCCAAGUACCAAAACACUGCUGCUUCUGAAGAGUGUCACAGAACUGCACACAAUCCUGGAGAUUCGAGGCACCCCAAUCAUCAAUUCCCUCAUACGUGUCAGAUCUCUUUGCUUCUGUGGAUUAGACGUCGAAGUGGUCAAGAAAUAAGCCCUGAUUUAUAAGGAACACAAGAGAAUUAAUAUCAUAGCACAGCAGUUAAGAGAAUGGUCUCUGCAUUACGAUUCUUUCCAAAGUCAUAUCACAACACAUUCACCAGAAAGAAUGGUAUUUCAAAGACUGAUAUUCCCGAGCACUGGAGUGGAUGUGAAGCCACUGGAACUCUCUCACACAACUGAUGAUAAAGUAAAUCAAUACAGCCAGGCUGAAAAUAAGUUGGCACUCUUUCAAACAAUUUGGAAAAUGCCAAUUUACUGAGCAAAUACAGAACCUCCAAAGAACUCUAUUUCAAGGUAUAUUACUAAUAGAAAUGGUUAUAUAUGCCAACCAAAUAUGUGAAUGAUGGUUUAACAAUCUCAUUUGUAAUCUGGAAGCAAUCCAUACGUAUAUCUAAAGGAGAGAAAUGUUGUUUUAUAUACAUACCAAGGAAUACAAUACAAAAUCAGUUACUGCUAUAAACAACAAGAAAGAAUUUCACAAAUGUAACACUGAGUGAAAGUAGCUAGAUUCAAAAUAAUGCUCAUACUACAAUUUCAUUUGGACAGAGCUCUAACACAAAGCAGUUGAUGAUUAAGUCUGGAUAUUGAUAAACUCUGAGAAGGAGAGGAAUAGUGACUGGGACGGAGUAUAAGCGCUUCUCCGAAGCAUUUCCUGGGAAGAUAUUUCUAGCAUGAAACAAUGCAAUUACAAUUUUAUAUUUUGUGAUAUGAUUAUACCAGUAUCUUCACUUUGAAAAUUGGUCAAGGUAUAUAUUUGGUUUGUGCAAUUUUAGUAUGUGCUACAUGAAUAAAAAAUGAUAUGAAAUAAUAUGCA
This 1008-nucleotide long non-coding RNA is filed under the name Sus scrofa (pig). Its description in RNAcentral is "lncRNA (ENSSSCG00050062649.1)". Lineage: Eukaryota; Metazoa; Chordata; Mammalia; Artiodactyla; Suidae. The record is from RNAcentral.